UGCAGUCGAACGCGUGUAGCAAUACACGAGUGGCGCACGGGUGAGUAACGCGUGGAUAUCUGCCUUUUGGUUCGGAAUAACUCCGGGAAACUGGAGCUAAUACCGGAUGGUUCCUACGGGAUAAAGAUUUAUCGCCAAAAGAUGAGUCCGCGUACGAUUAGCUAGUUGGUGAGGUAAUGGCUCACCAAGGCGACGAUCGUUAGCUGGUCUGAGAGGACGAUCAGCCACACUGGGACUGAGACACGGCCCAGACUCAUACGGGAGGCAGCAGUGGGGAAUAUUGGACAAUGGGGGCAACCCUGAUCCAGCCAUGCCGCGUGAGUGAUGAAGGCCUUCGGGUUGUAAAGCUCUUUUGGCGGGGACGAUGAUGACGGUACCCGCAGAAUAAGCCCCGGCUAACUUCGUGCCAGCAGCCGCGGUAAGACGAAGGGGUCUAGCGUUGUUCGGAAUUACUGGGCGUAAAGCGAGUGUAGGUGGUUGUCAUAGUCAGGUGUGAAAGCCUUGAGCUCAACUCAAGAAAUGCACUUGAUACUGGGCGACUAGAGGACCGGAGAGGAUAGUGGAAUUCCCAGUGUAGUGGUGAAAUACGUAGAGAUUGGGAAGAACACCAGUGGCGAAGGCGGCUAUCUGGACGGUUUCUGACACUAAGA
RNAcentral lists this ribosomal RNA (650 nucleotides) under uncultured bacterium. Its description in RNAcentral is "bacterial SSU rRNA". It matches the Rfam family "Bacterial small subunit ribosomal RNA", at positions 56 to 751 of the family's 1533-position model. The record is from RNAcentral.